Molecule: ribosomal RNA, 427 nt
Filed under: uncultured bacterium
Lineage: Bacteria
Description: partial 16S ribosomal RNA
Rfam family: Bacterial small subunit ribosomal RNA
Source: RNAcentral
GUGGGGAAUAUUGGGCAAUGGGGGAAACCCUGACCCAGCGACGCCGCGUGGGUGAAGAAAUCCCUCGGGAUGUAAAGCCCUGUUGUAUGGGAAGAGCAGAAGACGGUACCAUACGAGGAAGCCCCGGCAAACUACGUGCCAGCAGCCGCGGUAAUACGUAGGGGGCAAGCGUUGUCCGGAAUUACUGGGCGUAAAGCGCACGCAGGCUGAAUUAUAAGUCGGUAGUCAAAUACGGAGGCUCAACUUCCGGAUAUCUAUCGAUACUGUAAAUCUAGAGUAUGUGAGAGGGAAGCGGAAUUCCCGGUGUAGCGGUGAAAUGCGUAGAUAUUAGGAGGAAGACCAGUGGCGAAAGCGGCUUUCUGGACGACAACUGACGCUGAGGCGCGAAAGCCAGGGGAGCAAACGGGAUUAGAAACCCGAGUAGUCC